This 1346-nucleotide ribosomal RNA is filed under the name uncultured bacterium. RNAcentral describes it as "partial 16S ribosomal RNA". It matches the Rfam family "Bacterial small subunit ribosomal RNA", at positions 28 to 1381 of the family's 1533-position model. The record is from RNAcentral.
GACGAACGCUGGCGGCGUGCUUAACACAUGCAAGUCGAACGGAAAGGCCCUGCUUUUGUGGGGUGCUCGAGUGGCGAACGGGUGAGUAACACGUGAGUAACCUGCCCUUGACUUUGGGAUAACUUCAGGAAACUGGGGCUAAUACCGGAUAGGAGCUCCUGCUGCAUGGUGGGGGUUGGAAAGUUUCGGCGGUUGGGGAUGGACUCGCGGCUUAUCAGCUUGUUGGUGGGGUAGUGGCUUACCAAGGCUUUGACGGGUAGCCGGCCUGAGAGGGUGACCGGCCACAUUGGGACUGAGAUACGGCCCAGACUCCUACGGGAGGCAGCAGUGGGGAAUAUUGCACAAUGGGCGGAAGCCUGAUGCAGCAACGCCGCGUGCGGGAUGACGGCCUUCGGGUUGUAAACCGCUUUCGCCUGUGACGAAGCGUGAGUGACGGUAAUGGGUAAAGAAGCACCGGCUAACUACGUGCCAGCAGCCGCGGUGAUACGUAGGGUGCGAGCGUUGUCCGGAUUUAUUGGGCGUAAAGGGCUCGUAGGUGGUUGAUCGCGUCGGAAGUGUAAUCUUGGGGCUUAACCCUGAGCGUGCUUUCGAUACGGGUUGACUUGAGGAAGGUAGGGGAGAAUGGAAUUCCUGGUGGAGCGGUGGAAUGCGCAGAUAUCAGGAGGAACACCAGUGGCGAAGGCGGUUCUCUGGGCCUUUCCUGACGCUGAGGAGCGAAAGCGUGGGGAGCGAACAGGCUUAGAUACCCUGGUAGUCCACGCUGUAAACGGUGGGUACUGGGUGUGGGGUCCAUUCCACGGGUUCCGUGCCGUAGCUAACGCUUUAAGUACCCCGCCUGGGGAGUACGGCCGCAAGGCUAAAACUCAAAGGAAUUGACGGGGCCCCGCACAAGCGGCGGAGCAUGCGGAUUAAUUCGAUGCAACGCGUAGAACCUUACCUGGGUUUGACAUGGAUCGGGAGUGCUCAGAGAUGGGUGUGCCUCUUUUGGGGUCGGUUCACAGGUGGUGCAUGGCUGUCGUCAGCUCGUGUCGUGAGAUGUUGGGUUAAGUCCCGCAACGAGCGCAACCCUUGUUCACUGUUGCCAGCACGUUAUGGUGGGGACUCAGUGGAGACCGCCGGGGUCAACUCGGAGGAAGGUGGGGAUGACGUCAAGUCAUCAUGCCCCUUAUGUCCAGGGCUUCACGCAUGCUACAAUGGCUGGUACAGAGAGUGGCGAGCCUGUGAGGGUGAGCGAAUCUCGGAAAGCCGGUCUCAGUUCGGAUUGAGGUCUGCAACUCGACCUCAUGAAGUCGGAGUCGCUAGUAAUCGCAGAUCAGCAACGCUGCGGUGAAUACGUUCCCGGGGCU